GGAGAUAGAGACAUUAAUAGCUUCUAUGUUGUUUGGAAAAGAUAGACAUUAAUAGAAAAAGAUAGACAUUAAUAGAAAAAGAUCUAGAGAAAGUUACAUCAGCUACUUUGAGUUACGAUGAUUAUGCAGCUACAUUUCAAAGUGAAACCCUUCUUUUCGAACCUGCAGAUGAUUUCACCGACCUGAAAUACCAAAAAUCGACAUUUUUUUUAAUCAAAAGUAAACCUAGAAUUUUUGUUCUGUAUAACAAAAUGCCGACAAGUAAUCAAGUAACUUAAACUUGGAACUUUGAAUUGAUGCAUAAACAAGUAAACCCAGAAGACUAAAAUCCACAAAAGUUGAAAUUCAACUUCAAUCCAUGUCUGUAAAAGCUAAGAGCUAAAAGAAAUUUGAAGAAAAGAGAGUGGAGAAGCUCGCCUGUGUGAUAAGCCGCCGGAAUGACUCGCCGGGGACAGAGAAUCCGAUCGUCGGAGUCUCGCCGGAGAGAGAAAUAGCUCG
This 498-nucleotide long non-coding RNA is filed under the name Eutrema salsugineum. RNAcentral describes it as "long non-coding RNA (ESAL_LNC000852)". Lineage: Eukaryota; Viridiplantae; Streptophyta; Magnoliopsida; Brassicales; Brassicaceae. The record is from RNAcentral.